UACGUAGGUGUCGAGCGUUGUCCGGAUUUAUUGGGCGUAAAGAGCCCGCAGGCGGCUUGGCAAGUUUGCGGUGAAAUCUCCCGGCUUAACUGGGAGGGGGCCUCGAAAACUGCCAGGCUUGAGGCAUGGAGAGGGAUGCGGAAUUCCCGGUGUAGUGGUGAAAUGCGUAGAUAUCGGGAGGAACACCAGUGGCGAAGGCGGCAUCCUGGCCAUGUCCUGACGCUCAGGGGCGAAAGCGUGGGGAGCAAACCGG
RNAcentral lists this ribosomal RNA (253 nucleotides) under uncultured bacterium. Its description in RNAcentral is "partial 16S ribosomal RNA". It matches the Rfam family "Bacterial small subunit ribosomal RNA", at positions 524 to 776 of the family's 1533-position model. The record is from RNAcentral.